This 253-nucleotide ribosomal RNA is filed under the name uncultured bacterium. Its description in RNAcentral is "partial 16S ribosomal RNA". It matches the Rfam family "Bacterial small subunit ribosomal RNA", at positions 524 to 776 of the family's 1533-position model. The record is from RNAcentral.
UACAGAGGUCCCAAGCGUUGUUCGGAUUCAUUGGGCGUAAAGGGCUCGUAGGCGGCCAACUAAGUCGGACGUGAAAUCCCCAGGCUCAACCUGGGAACUGCGUCCGAUACUGGAUGGCUUGAAUCCGGGAGAGGGAUGCAGAAUUCCAGGUGUAGCGGUGAAAUGCGUAGAUAUCUGGAGGAAUACCGGUGGCGAAGGCGGCAUCCUGGACCGGUAUUGACGCUGAGGCGCGAAAGCCAGGGGAGCAAACGGG